Molecule: unclassified non-coding RNA, 343 nt
Filed under: Hevea brasiliensis (rubber tree)
Lineage: Eukaryota; Viridiplantae; Streptophyta; Magnoliopsida; Malpighiales; Euphorbiaceae
Source: RNAcentral
GUGCAUGUUUGUCCAUUUUGCUCCUACCUUUCGGGGCCUUUCCAUGCAUGACUUUGAAUCAUGUGUCAUUGCUCCACAAUUUUCGCAUGCACCCUUCCUAUACUUGUCUGCCUGAUGUAUUUUUGCACCUCUGUCGUACCAGGAUUUUGUAUAAUUCGGAUCUGAUUUCCAUUUCCUUUGAUGUUUUAAACUUGGUCUCUCAGCAUUAAGAUACCAAGGUGCAGAGGACAUAUAUUGAGGAAUGUGAGGGUUGAUUUCUUUCCCAUCUUCAUCGACCUCAGCUGGUGCAAGCCCUGCUUUACGAGCUUCCUCUAAUUCCAGUUGUUUGCGAUGAUCCUCCCUA